UGAAUCAGGAAGUGAAGUUCAGAUGUUGGGACUCUGUUCCGAAGUAGGAGAAGGCUGUGAAGGUUGAUCUCCUCCGCAGAUAAUGGGAAAUGGUUGGGAAGAAGUGAUGAACCGUGAGCAGGAUGCAGGGGAAUUUAGCUGGGACAUCCGUGGGAUAAGGAUGCAAUCCAUGAUAGAGUUAAUCCGAACAGGAUAGAAGGAAGAAAUUCGGGAAC
RNAcentral lists this long non-coding RNA (215 nucleotides) under Phoenix dactylifera (date palm). Its description in RNAcentral is "long non-coding RNA (PDAC_LNC021695)". The record is from RNAcentral. Lineage: Eukaryota; Viridiplantae; Streptophyta; Magnoliopsida; Arecales; Arecaceae.